RNAcentral lists this transfer RNA (67 nucleotides) under Microcaecilia sp. PZ-2009. Its description in RNAcentral is "tRNA-Gly". The record is from RNAcentral. Lineage: Eukaryota; Metazoa; Chordata; Amphibia; Gymnophiona; Siphonopidae.
CCCCCUUAGUAUAACUAAUACUAAUGACUUCCAAUCAUAAAAUCCAGACUAAUAAGCUGGGGGGGGC